CCCCACCCUCCUCUGCAGCAGGGGGAGGGGAUAAGAGAGGUCUGGGGGACCAGGCCCAGGGUUGGGGGCUCAGAAGGCAGUGCUCUGGGGCAUCUCCACCAUGGCCUGGGCUCUGCUCCUUGUCACCCUCCUCACUCAGGGCACAGGGUCCUGGGCCCAGUCUGCCCUGACUCAGCCUCCCUCCGUGUCUGGGUCUCCAGGAAAGACGGUCACCAUCUCCUGUGCAGGAACCAGCAGUGAUGUUGGGUAUGGAAACUAUGUCUCCUGUUACCAGCAGCUCCCAGGAAUGGCCCCCAAACUCCUGAUAUAUGACGUCAAUAAACGGGCCUCAGGGAUCGCUGAUCGCUUCUCUGGCUCCAAGUCCGGCAACACGGCCUCCCUGACCAUCUCUGGGCUCCAGUCUGAGGACGAGGCUGAUUAUUACUGUGCCUCAUAUAGAAGCAGCAACAAUGCGCACAGUGGUCCACGGAGGGACUCAUCUGAGCUCCUGAAGCUUUAG
Molecule: non-coding RNA, 499 nt
Organism: Vicugna pacos (alpaca)
Lineage: Eukaryota; Metazoa; Chordata; Mammalia; Artiodactyla; Camelidae
Source: the annotation of a RefSeq genome assembly